GCCUUCAUAACUCAACCACUCAAUAUAGUUCAAUUCUUUUAUCUUCCAUUGUCUAAGAAUAAAUGACCAAUAUCUUACUUCUUCAUUCAUUAUCUUCAUCAAAAUUACUCUCAUUUAUAUGUCACGUGAAGGAGAAACCAAACCCUGACUUGUUCUUUUCCAACAUCAACACUAUCGCAAAGCUUUUCUGGACUCCGUAGUGGUGCAUUGAAACAACAAAAAGCAAUUUCAUAUUCUCCACAUCGAGAGUUUUGUCCUACAUUUUUUUCGUUUUCCAGUUUCACCAACAUUCACGAACACCCGACGGCGAUAGCGUUACGAUAAAUGUUUUCCGAUCAACCUAACAUUCUUUGUUCAUUUUGGUCUGAACCUGUCAUAAUUAAAGUUAGAUGCUGAUGCACUUUUAAUUUUAAUUUCAGUGUUGUUGUUAUCCGUAAGCACCGUUUCGUGUCAUUCGUGUUG
RNAcentral lists this long non-coding RNA (462 nucleotides) under Cicer arietinum (chickpea). RNAcentral's name for it is "long non-coding RNA (CARI_LNC003161)". The record is from RNAcentral. Lineage: Eukaryota; Viridiplantae; Streptophyta; Magnoliopsida; Fabales; Fabaceae.